GAAGGAAGCCGAGCCGCGGCGGCGGGUGGUGCGCUACGCAUGCGUAAUGCGGGCCGGAAGCGCCCCGGUUGCCGUGACAACGGCGUCGGCCCCGCGGCGCGGCCGAGGCGGAGCGGGCCGGGAGCCGGCGGGUCCCCUCCCGGUGCCCUCCCCGCCCAUGCCGCGGAAGGCGCUGCUCUGCGUCCUGCAGCUGGACGUCCGCUCGGUAACUUGCCCUGGCGUGCUGCUGAAAGACAAAGAGCAACUUUAUCUCAGUGUCUCUGUACUCGGGCAGUGCAAAAAAACCCAGUGCGUCCCUGCAGCGUUUCCACUCCUCUUUCACGAGAAACUGGUGUUUGAAAAGGCGUUUGCUGAUAUAGUUGAUCCUGGAGACCUUGUGGAGUUACUGGAACUUGACACCGCGGUACUUGAACUGAUACAGCUCGUUCCUCCAGUAGGAGAAAUUCUAGCUACGUAUGAAGAAAAUACAAGAGAUUUCCUGUUCCCUGACCCUAAGCUUACCUGUGGGCACCACGGUUUAGAUCGGGAGAUUUUAAUGAAGAGAUCCUCUUCUUUUCCAGGAAUUGCACCAAAAUUGAGAUUUUCUACAAGCUCCCUUAUUACUGAAAGUCUGUUAAGCUCAGGAACAGGUCACGUACAGGGUGAUUUGGAUUGGACGCAUCCCUCAACCCCAAAUGGAAAGCUGCGAACGAAGUUACCAAAGAAAAACACUCUUUCAGCUGAGAAAAGCAGGCCCGGCUUAGCACCAAAGAACUACCAGCAGCCUACUAUAGCUUCUAAAUCACGGUCUCCGUCUCCAUACACGAAAAGACGAAUGUGUGAGCUGUCAGAAGAAGCCAGGCAGCGACUGGCCCAUUUAAACCUCGGGCCUUACAAAUUCAGAAGAGAAACCGAUAAACCUCCAUUUGUAGUUAGACGGGUUGACCAACCGAGUCCUGGUAUUACACUUUCUACCUGGUGUCCCACACGAGAAAGCCCAGUAGAAGCCUGGACCAAGCUAGACCAUGAUCCGUCUCUCCUCGGCAGCUACAGGCCCAAGAAAGCCCACGUUCUCGGAGCAGUCGUUGUCUGCAGAGCACACGUAGCUGAGCCACAGGCAAGAUCUACUCACGCAAAAGACUUUGACAGUUGUGAUGUUUGCAAUGAGGAUGUGAUCUCAGCUCCACCCAACAGACUGUCCCAUUCUGCUGCUUCGUUGGAGCGUUCAGCACCUCCAGCAUUUCAGAAGCAUUCUCCCAGUUCUGUGCUAAAUCGAUCUUCUCUAAGGGAAAGGUUUAGCUCCGGUUGGCCUUCACCAGCAAAUGGAGAUGAGAUCCAUAAACGAGUGAAGAAUAUUUUAAGGACACACAGUGCUAGACAGCGCCUGAUAUUUGAUGAGAGUAACUCGUCAAAAGGAGACUUGAUUAAGACAAAAGAAUCUUCGCAUAAAGCGUCCUCAGCCAUGGGUGAACUGCAGAGCAGUAGGUACCAUAAAUCUUUAAUAUGCUGCUCCUAUGGUGGAAGCUUUUCAGAACCAUCUCUGUGACUGUGACAGGAUCGAAGUUUGUGAUUCUGGAACUCAAGCUUAAAAACAAACAAAAAAAGAAAAGGAGAAGAAGGAGCAAGAAAGCGGUGAGAACGGAAUACAUAUUACACUGUUUUCCUCUUGCUGGGCUUUGGGGCCGGAGGAAAGGGCUUGAGUGGCGGGUUGGCAGCAGUGGGGAGGAAACGCGUGCAGUCCUGACCUCGGGUCGGUCAGCAAUAAGCAGCUGGAGUGACAGGAGGGUAAAGUGGCUGGGCUGACAGGCAGCUCCGCUCCUGGGACUCUAUUUACAUACGGUUAAAACAAACACGAAAAGCUGCCUUUGUUCCCUGGGAAAAAAACCUCUAUUUACUUGGCAUUCAGCUCAUGUAUAAGCUGCAACUUCUUUUCAUGGAAAAUGUAGAAACAAAGCAACUGACAUUUCUGCUUUGAUGUGAGGCUGAAGCGAAGAUUUGAUUUUGAAAUAUGAAAGUAAACUGAAACUACUUCCAAUUUAAAGGUUUUUUUUUUAAUGACCUUAAAAGUUUUGAGAAGUUUUUUUCCCUCCCCUUAAGGACUGGAAGAAAUUAUAACAGUAAUCUUACUGAUAGCUGUAAGUCUACAGAGACAGUGGCUGUAGGUUAAUGAAAAAUUGACACUGCUGCUUGCCUGUGCUUCCAGCAGGAUGGGUUUUGCUUCGGCCCGAUGUGAACUAUCGCACUGCGUGAGCUGGUGAUGAGCCUCACAUAUUAAAUGGAAUGUGGCUCCUGUGGAAGCUACAGCUGAAGGCUUGGAACACCAUGCCUGCUCCCAACAAAUGCAGGAAAACUAUGGGGUGCUUAAAAUAGUUACCCUGGUCCUUCUCCCCCCCACACACGCACCCCCUUGGAAAUUAAGCUUGCUUAGUCUAAGCCAGAAAGUUGGCUGAGUGUCCCUGAUAAUCUCCAUUCCAGCGCUGAAUCCGGAGUAGAGUCAACCCAGCCUGACGGGUGUAUGGGAGAGGCCACACCGCAGUGACGAGUGUGCAAGUGCACUUGCUCUGAGGUUUUGGUUCGUGCUCUGAAAACUUCAUCUCUCUGUCUGUUGUCCUUGGCAUGGUGGUGCCAUCUGGUCUUCCUUGGCCAGCUUAUCGGUAAUACCGCACUGCAUGGUAUUGCAGUUUUUGCUUAUGAAAUAUGGCACAUGGAUACCUUGCUGCCAGCCUUUGACCAGAUGGCACAUGCUUAAAUAACAUCCCCCAUGUACUGGGGUGGAUACAUAGCGGUGCUGGAAAUUGCAGUGAGACAAGGGGAGAGAAGGCAUGAAGACAGUUCAGGUAUUAUGUGGGAUCUCAGGCCAGUAAUUAACCAGCUAUUGGAUGUCCAGAGACCUCUGUGCUCCCUUGAAGGACUUUGAAUGUACAAUGGACUCUGCAGAGCACUCAGUUCUGGUGCUGAGCGGCUGUUCUGGGGCAGAAGCAUUCUCCAUCUCUCCUGCAGGACUUUCAACGGGUCACAGAGAGGUGGUGACAAUGCGUCACUGGGCAUUAAGGUACCCCCGGGAAAAGGCAGCGCUGUGUGCAGGGGAGGUUGGGGCUGUGAUUCACCUGCUCCAGAGGGGCCUGUGCAAAAAUCUCAACUUGUUGUGACACCAACAUUUUACCCAUGCUAAAAAAAUCACGUUUAUUGCUCCCUGUCUCGCCUUCACAAUUCCCUGUAAUUCACUGUUACUGCUCAAGGCAAACAAACUCAAAGCUGUUUAGAACCAGCUUUGUGGAAUCACCGAGGCUGGAUGACACCGUCCACAUUACGCUGCCUUUAGUCUGAAAUGGGGAAAAUAAACGUAACCCAGUAAACAAAUAUAUAGGACUGUGGGAUGAGAGGCUUGAAUUUGGUUUUUGCACCUACUACAUUUUAUCCUUUGCUACUUCCUUGUGCCAUUAUCUCAUUCUUUGCCUUUCCAUGAUUAGGAAGCCCUGGUUUUCUGUGUGCACUGCCUAUGAUUUUUAUUUAGGUGGUGCAAGAUCACAACAGACAAAUGCUUAAUGUAACAGAAGAGGCUUGAUGAGCAUCCAGUUGAAAGCUGGAGGGAGAUGCGGUUGUACUGGAAAUAAGAGACACACAAACGCACAUUUGGAAAUCCUCUUGCUGAUACGUAGCAUUUGGAAACCACUACAGCUUGAGGUUAGCAGGGUUUUCUUUUGCCUGAGGUUUAAAACAUUGCUCCUGACCUGGCAAGCAGGUGAGAUGAAUCCACCGAAGGUAAGCAGUUGACUUCAUUAUUUGUAGUAGAAACACUUGUGUACAUAAUUCAAAAUAGGUUCUAAACAAUCUUCUCUCCCCACCAGCAAGGAAGAGGAGCAGUUUACUGGUGUUGGAAGCACUUGAGAAAGGGGUAAGUGAGCUGCAGUAUUUGAGGGGGAGCCCCUUCCAGGCACAAGGCUUUGGAGGGGAUUGGUGGGAUUCCCAUUGCCAGAGCUGUCACGUCCCAGAGCCAGGCGCGUGGGCACAAUCCUGCGGAGACACGGCCAUGGGUACCUGCACCAAAACGGUGCUCAGAAGGUAAGCUGGUGGAUGUGAACAAAGCAAUGCAAAGGCAAAAUUGAUAUUAAGUUUUGCACUACUAUUCACAACAACAGUAGGAGGGAAUUCUGAUGGGUUCCUUGAUGUGUGUUUAUUGUUAUUAUAUGCAAAUGAAGGGAAGGAAAUGUGAGAAGAGAGUGCAGAAGAAAGGAAACUAACACAUGUAAAUGUAUUGAGUUUGUUUCUUGUCCCGGGCACCAGCAGUGCAGAAUGGCACUUGUCAGCCCGGGUAGGAUCUGCUUUAACCCAGCAAUAGGGACUCCCUGCUGCUCCUGGUCCCAGACGAUGAACCCGAAGAACCAGAGAAAACACGGUGCCCUGUUUGCUAACCCACGCUCCACCCUGCGAAAAUGCAUGUGGUUUCAUUUCUUUGCUUUGUAAUAAACUGCGCCCACCAUAGUGUAUAUUCUUUUAAAUAACAUUUUAAAAUAUUUUCCGGUAAAUUAAAGCAAUGACAUGUUUGUGGGUUCAUUGUUAAUUUCAUUUCCUUUGGCUCAGCCAGCCAGAUAAAAUGCAACGUUAUUAAUCUUUGUUUAAAAGAAGAUCCUUUGCUGAACAGUAAUAAAUGAUCUUGAUAGAUUUGUCAGGAAAAUGAAUGAUAAUCAUUUGCAGAUAGACACAAGCCUAGUAUGGAAGAUUAAUAAGAAAAUAUGUAUUGGCAUCAUUAAUAACAUCUGCUGCCAAUGGGCUUGUAUAUUGGUUACAGCUCUGAAGGCGAUGUGAUCUUGUUGGGCUAUUGCAAUUCAUCACGCGCGGUGCGUGAGGCUGUGCGGUGCUCCCGGGCGAUGACAAGUGCUCCCCGGGACGGGCUCGUGAGCAGCCUGAGGCCACAUCCGCCAUCCGAUGAGCCUGUCGUCACCCAGUGUGGCAGUUCUCAUCCGCCCCCGCCUCGAGAACUGCAGCCUUCAAUGGGGCAGUUAAGGGCUCUUUUGUGGGAGUUGGUUGACAGGGUCAUUAGCAGAGGAGGGGCCCCGAGAAGCUGGGAAGCUUCUGGAAUGCCCACAGCUAGAUCUCAUCAGACUAUAAAACAGUGUUCCCUCUGAAGAUCCCCUUUGUGUGGUCUUCUCGGAGCAGCGGGUCAGUGCUGGAGCCCUCCCUUUAGACUGGGACGCCGUCUAAGGAACCUUCCCGGGAUUGGGAGCGCCUCACCUCCUCCUUUGGGUGAGUGAUAAUUUAAGUCCUUGCUGAUCAGGCAAGUGUAGCCCUGGCUGAACCAGGAGAGUAGAGUAUAGUCCUGGCCGAACCAGGAGAGUGUUUGGGUACCCGGGGCAGAGGGCUCUGGUUUUAUUUCUUGUGAGUCCAUGCAUGCACACUGUGGAUCCUCAUUAUUCUCAUUUGUUGCACCCUGAUAAUCUUCUCAACUGAUAUCCGAACCUUUAUCUUAUGCUAUGGAAGUGCUAACUAACUGUAUAAGCCCUGUUUUGGUUGGUUCAUUGGUUGUACUUUUCCGGCCAGAAUAAAGACCAUUUUGCCACCUAAAACUGACUGUGGGGUCCCUCCGUGACACUGAUUCUGCUGGCACUGACUCCCCACCUGUAUUUCCUAAAAACUCCUCCACAGCCCAUGAAUUUGCUCAUUCUUUGCUUGUGGGGCUGCGGCUGCUGCAGCCACAGAUCAUCCUUGUUCCCCGGGGAGCUCGGCCCGCACGGCGUGGGCUGGUGUUUGACGCACAGCCUCGCUCAAGGUCUGCGCUCGUCCCGCCUCACGUAUCUCUAAAAAGGUUCCUGCAGAGCCUGCUUGUACGUCUUCAACUGACACAGCUCUAGAAAGUGCCCGUUCCACCGCAGCACAAUGUGUUCAGAGAUAAAGCUCUUCACAGGUGCUGCAUGUCACUGUCAUGGGCUUUGGGGUUUUGGCUUUGAUCAUUCCUGUUAGGAAAAGAGUGUUUUAUUUGGGUGAGAGCCCUGGUAUUUCUAAAUGCAUUAGAAAUGUGUCUGUUAUUAUUAGACAUUUGCCAGCUAUUAAUCACAGCUGGUAACUUGAUUUCCUCUAAAUGUUUUCAGGUACCCUCUGAUCUGGCCACCACCUGCUCUAAAUUGAAUAGUGGAAAGGCAAGGCAAGCUCUGGUUCGUGUGCCUCAUCCUGCAGGGAUGGGUGGCCCAUUGAUGGGGCUGAGAUCUCUCUUAUUCAAAGUAAAUCUACUUUUUUUUUCUCUUAGACCUUUCUCUUGAGUUCCAUGAGCACAGCACAGACUCCAUCCUGCACGGCUAAUUCGGUCUCCUCCAUCCAGACUGAGGAUGGGCAGUGGAACCACAAGCCAGGUGGGCCCAGAGCCGCGUUUCUCCUCUCCUUGCUGGAUCAUGACUCAUUUUCUUCAUCUUUAGGGCACUGUGCUUCACCGCGUGCCCUCGCCUCCCCACGCAGUGGAACUUCUCCAGGGAAGCUAAGCCCUGCAGUCAUUUCCAGCAAGCAGUGCCUCCAGGGAAGGGCUGCGCCACCGCGUGCUGGCACCUCGGGGGACCAUCGUGAGUGUUGUUGUCAUCCAGCGCCUCCAGCUUAGACAUGAAGAUGAGGACCUCUGAGAAAAACCAAAGCCACGUGGUGCCUGAACCCACCUCAGCCGAAGUAAGCCCAUAGAAAGACGUUGAUGGUGAGCAGGAGAAUCGCAUUAACAUCGCAAACGGUCUUCCACAGGGCCUUCUCCUCGAUGCUGGAAUGACAGCUCUUCUGAACCAUUCAGAGGACUGUAACGUGAAGGGAAAUGCUAGAAAAAUAUGUUGGAGGAUCAAGAACAGCAACACUGUCAUUUGUCACAUCCUCAUAACUGGUAUACUUGUAAGUACACGCGCCAGCUCCAGUCAUCACAGCAGAUGGCCUCUCAUGAGCUUUAGAGGGACUUGCAUGAGCUCUUGGCUGUGCACUCACAUGCACACGAGUGUGCUUGUUCACAGCCAGCCACCCUACCUGCCUCCUCCUUAGCGCCUGAACCUGCGCUUUCCACCAAGUCACUCUCUCCGUUGGCCGCGUUGAUCUGUGCUGCUUCGCUCUUGUAAUUCUUCAGGUCAAUGGCAGGUGCUCUUCUGUGUCUCGUCCACCACGUCAGGCAAGUGAGCUGCAAAGACAGACAGCGAACAAUCAGGUUACUACCUGCCAGUCCCAAAGUGGCACACCAGUUUUCUCCCUCUUUGGUGGGCACCAAUCCAAGACUGUGCUGAGGAACCUGUUGUGGGGCGACGUUUGUUCCCCCACUUUCUUGCACCUCUCUUCUGCACAGGUGCCCACAGCCUGGGAAAAAAAAAAAGGCUGGUACCAUCUAGUUGGAGCUGAAAAGCUGAGAAAAAGUGUGAAUUAAUCUAGUUUCUUUCCUUAUACUUUCUUAAAUUAACCUAUUCCAUCCCUGUCUCUACCUUUUAGUAGACAGUGAAGAAGCAGCUUCCUAUUCACUAGGAUUACUUGAUUGACAUUAAAUAAUGAUGAUCUGUGUCCAGCAUGGCAGCAGUGCAACUGGGAAGGGUAAUGAAGUCAACUAAAGAGAAAAAGGAAGCCAACACAACCCUCUCUGGAUACAGCCCAUCACACACACAGCAAUGGUACCUUCAGCAGAGAAAGAUCAGCUGAGUGUGGGCAUGCAGAUGUAUGGCCAAAGGGGACACUGGUAUUUGAGCAGCUUCUUCUCUGGGACAUGGGAAAGGACUUGAGGAUCUUGUGUCUCACCUGAGAUGCAGGUUUCCAGGAAACCGCGCAAUGUCCAAACUGUUACAGCGUGAGCAUUAAACGCCACAGUUAGGACAAGCUCUCAUCAGAGCAGCAACCUGCACUUCCAAACGAGCUGAUCUCAGGGCUCACAGUGGGAAAAGCAGCAAUAUUGUGUCUUUGCUCUCUGGCUGCGUGUGGUUGAGAAGCACAACUGUGUGGGCAGGCAGAGCCAUGAUGGUGAAUAUUAACUCACAGUUCGCUGGGAGGAUGAUACCAAGCAUUAGACCAACAGUUUUUCUCAGUUGGGCCAAUACAAGACAUUACCUCCCUCUGCAGUCUUUCAGGACCAUCAAAAGCCAUGAACAACCAUCAGUCCUGGAAAUGCUGCUGGGGCUGCUACCUGCUCUGCUUUACAAAAUCAGGAGGUCUGAAACUCUUAAG
Molecule: RNA transcript, 8139 nt
Organism: Columba livia (rock pigeon)
Lineage: Eukaryota; Metazoa; Chordata; Aves; Columbiformes; Columbidae
Gene: SPATA6
Gene name: spermatogenesis associated 6
Exons: 18
Source: RefSeq, a predicted model, not a curated record